UUUCGCAAUGCCCGAAAGGGUGACGAUGCGACGCCGCGUGGAGGAUGAAGGCCUUCGGGUUGUAAACUCCUGUCAGGGCAACAGAAGGGAAGGGGGGGAAACUCCCCGACCUUGACUGAGCCCAAAGGAAGCCCCAGCUAACUCCGUGCCAGCAGCUGCGGUGAGACGGAGAGGGCGAGCGUUGUUCGGAAUUACUGGGCGUAAAGGGCACGUAGGCGGGUCCGUAUGUCAGGGGUGAAAGCCCCCGGCCCAACCGGGGAACGGCCUCUGAAACUGCGGACCUUGAGUGGAGCAGAGGGGAGUGGAACUCUCGGUGGAGCGGUGAAAUGCGUUGAUAUCGAGGGGAACACCAGCGGCGAAGGCGACUCCCUAUGCUUCUACUGACGCUGAGGUGCGAAAGCCAGGGGAGCGAACGGGAUUAGAUACCCCGGUAGUCCUGGCCCUAAACGGUGGGCACUAAGUAGAGGGGUUUUA
This 474-nucleotide ribosomal RNA is filed under the name uncultured anaerobic ammonium-oxidizing bacterium. RNAcentral's name for it is "bacterial SSU rRNA". It matches the Rfam family "Bacterial small subunit ribosomal RNA", at positions 364 to 833 of the family's 1533-position model. The record is from RNAcentral.